AUUGAACGCCGGCGGCAUGCCUUACACAUGCAAGUCGAACGGCAGCAUGAUCUAGCUUGCUAGAUUGAUGGCGAGUGGCGAACGGGUGAGUAAUACAUCGGAACGUGCCCUGUAGUGGGGGAUAACUAGUCGAAAGAUUAGCUAAUACCGCAUACGACCUGAGGGUGAAAGUGGGGGACCGCAAGGCCUCAUGCUAUAGGAGCGGCCGAUGUCUGAUUAGCUAGUUGGUGAGGUAAAGGCUCACCAAGGCGACGAUCAGUAGCUGGUCUGAGAGGACGAUCAGCCACACUGGGACUGAGACACGGCCCAGACUCCUACGGGAGGCAGCAGUGGGGAAUUUUGGACAAUGGGGGCAACCCUGAUCCAGCAAUGCCGCGUGUGUGAAGAAGGCCUUCGGGUUGUAAAGCACUUUUGUCCGGAAAGAAAUCGCACUUACUAAUAUUAGGUGUGGAUGACGGUACCGGAAGAAUAAGGACCGGCUAACUACGUGCCAGCAGCCGCGGUAAUACGUAGGGUCCAAGCGUUAAUCGGAAUUACUGGGCGUAAAGCGUGCGCAGGCGGUUGUGCAAGACCGAUGUGAAAUCCCCGGGCUUAACCUGGGAAUUGCAUUGGUGACUGCACGGCUAGAGUGUGUCAGAGGGGGGUAGAAUUCCACGUGUAGCAGUGAAAUGCGUAGAGAUGUGGAGGAAUACCGAUGGCGAAGGCAGCCCCCUGGGAUAACACUGACGCUCAUGCACGAAAGCGUGGGGAGCAAACAGGAUUAGAUACCCUGGUAGUCCACGCCCUAAACGAUGUCAACUAGUUGUUGGGGAUUCAUUUCCUUAGUAACGUAGCUAACGCGUGAAGUUGACCGCCUGGGGAGUACGGUCGCAAGAUUAAAACUCAAAGGAAUUGACGGGGACCCGCACAAGCGGUGGAUGAUGUGGAUUAAUUCGAUGCAACGCGAAAAACCUUACCUACCCUUGACAUGCCACUAACGAAGCAGAGAUGCAUUAGGUGCUCGAAAGAGAAAGUGGACACAGGUGCUGCAUGGCUGUCGUCAGCUCGUGUCGUGAGAUGUUGGGUUAAGUCCCGCAACGAGCGCAACCCUUGUCUCUAGUUGCUACGAAAGGGCACUCUAGAGAGACUGCCGGUGACAAACCGGAGGAAGGUGGGGAUGACGUCAAGUCCUCAUGGCCCUUAUGGGUAGGGCUUCACACGUCAUACAAUGGUGCAUACAGAGGGUUGCCAAGCCGCGAGGUGGAGCUAAUCCCAGAAAAUGCAUCGUAGUCCGGAUCGUAGUCUGCAACUCGACUACGUGAAGCUGGAAUCGCUAGUAAUCGCGGAUCAGCAUGCCGCGGUGAAUAAGGUCCCGGGUCU
RNAcentral lists this ribosomal RNA (1359 nucleotides) under uncultured bacterium. RNAcentral's name for it is "bacterial SSU rRNA". It matches the Rfam family "Bacterial small subunit ribosomal RNA", at positions 28 to 1381 of the family's 1533-position model. The record is from RNAcentral.